This 199-nucleotide ribosomal RNA is filed under the name uncultured bacterium. RNAcentral describes it as "partial 16S ribosomal RNA". It matches the Rfam family "Bacterial small subunit ribosomal RNA", at positions 328 to 539 of the family's 1533-position model. The record is from RNAcentral.
ACGCUCGACACCUACUGGAGGCAGCAGUGGGGAAUAUUGCACAAUGGGGGAAACCCUGAUGCAGCGACGCCGCGUGAAGGAAGAAGUAUUUCGGUAUGUAAACUUCUAUCAGCAGGGAAGAAAAUGACGGUACCUGAGUAAGAAGCACCGGCUAAAUACGUGCCAGCAGCCGCGGUAAUCUGAGGCGGGCUGGCAAGGC